RNAcentral lists this long non-coding RNA (2211 nucleotides) under Medicago truncatula (barrel medic). RNAcentral's name for it is "long non-coding RNA (MTRU_LNC004492)". Lineage: Eukaryota; Viridiplantae; Streptophyta; Magnoliopsida; Fabales; Fabaceae. The record is from RNAcentral.
GGAAAGAUGAUUUUUUGGAGAACUUUCAUGAAGUGAAAACUUUUUGAAAAUGUGAGAUAAUUAGUACUUAAUAUGCCACAUUCAUGAAGGAAAGCUAUUAUUACAAUAUAAUAGGGAACAAAUCUACGGGGUAGUAUACCACCAUUACAUCAAACCGAAGCUUGUGAGCUAAAGAUAAACAAGGAGAUCGAAGAAUCGUGCAAGAGAAGGAACAAUGGUGAUCCAAGUUGGCAAGAAAAUCAGCACAAGAUUUAGCCUCCAAGCAAUUAUGAUUCAAUGAGAAAUUUUAAUAUGAAAGAUGGAUAAGACGAAGAAUGUCUAGUAAGAGCGGUAGAAGAAUUGCAAUACGAAAGCUUAUCAUCUUCUAUAAAUAGGAGGUCUUACGGGACGUUGAAACAUUAUAAUAGUAAGAGACUAGAUUCAUAUUAUUGUUUGGAAUUGGAUAUAUGUUUCCCUUCUAUAGUUCUCACUUUCCCAUGUUUUUGCCAUGAAUUUUGUAAAGCUACGAAUUCAAGUUUAUUUUUAUUAAGUUACGAAUUCAAGUUUAAGAGUAAAUAUGUGUGUUUAGAAAAAGAAAAAAAAGAGUAAAUAUGUGUUUAGCGCCUUUAUAUGUGGUUCCAAACAUGUUGUAAGUGUGUGUGACAUCACUUAUGUGAGACAGUAUUUGAGUUUGUAGAAUGAUUCAUAUACUGAAACAAUUUGGUCGAGACGUUUAUGUUGACAUAGAUAAGAGGUAUUGACCCACGUAAAUAUUUGUUAUGUGUUGUGUACCUAAGAUCCUCGAUGCACAUAGAUUUUCCAUAACAUAAUUCUUUACAUAAACUGUGCUUUCAUUAGUAUGAAUCAGAUCUCUUAAAUUCUAGCUUAAUUGAAAAAACUAAUCAACUUAAUAUAUUAUAAUUGAUGAACAAAGACAAAUUAGUGAAAUAACACCAAUUGUUACAAAAAAAGACAAAUAACACAUAUUGAUGAACACCUAAUUUCCUCCUUUUAAUAUUAAUCAUACAUGGCUUAACGGUUGGAGUUGGUUUUCAAGGUGAGGCAUAUAGUUUGAAGAGGGAUGUUUGGACUUUUCUAUAUUACUAUGACGUAUCGGCAUCUUAUAUUUAACCAGUGUAGGAAUAUACCACUAUACACACAAAAAAAAAAAGUUUAUAGUGAAUCAAAAUCCAUUGAAAAUAUUUUAGUCUUGUCGUUAGAACUGUUUAGAGUGGUAAGAAAGUUUAUUUUUUAGUAUAUACCAAUGCCUAACAAAACCACUGGAUUAGCACCUUCCGUAAGCCAUUGAUUAAACUAUUAAUGUAUUAAUUUUAUAAGGUUAAUCAUUAAACCACCUUUUAGGUGAAAGUGAUGUCUACGUUAAUUUAUUUUGGCUGUAGGGGCUUUGGACGACCAUAAGUUAUUUUACCAAGCUACAAGGACAGUUUAAUAUACAAACCUUAUUGCUUAGUCUUUAUUCAAAUGGAUCUCUCUUGAUCAAUAAAGAACAUAUAGCUCUAAUUAUUGAUUGAUUUGUAAGCUUGCCGAUUUGUAUUAAACAAUAAAAAUGGUAUCUGAAUCUAGAGCUUAUGCAUAUGUCAUUUUAGUUUGUCCUAUUUUUAAUGUCAUUUUGACAUUUUCCAGAUUUAGCUGCCUUACAUUACAUGUAACAGCUUCACUGGAAUAGGUGAAUACCAUCAUUCUAUAUUUAGUUAAAGAAUGGUAAAGUACGUGAUGGAACCGUUCCAAGUGCAAAAAAUAAAAAUAGUGCGGUGUGUAAAGUAACUACAUGUUCAACUUUGAUAAAGCAACCGGUCAUAAUGUAAUAUAUAUAUAUAUAUAAACACACAUACAUGGUCUCAAAAAAUAGGUCAUGAAUGUGAUUUGGAUCACAAUAUUAAUGCUUUUUGACGUCUUUAUGAUUGAAAUUAAGGUCGUAUCAGCAAUUAACUGUGAUUCUCUACAAUAUCAAAAAUUGUAAUACAACACAAUUUUGAUCAUAGAAAUACUCCUCUCACCCUCUCAUAGAAACACUAAUUUACCUGAAAAAUACUAUUGGAUUAGAUGUACAAAAAGAAAAUAAAUACCGAGAAACAUUGAAUUUUAAGAUUUGUAUGAAAAUGAACACUGAUAGAUUACAUUUAAUGCAGGUUUUAUACAACAAAAUUACUUGUCAUCCAUUAGACUCCAACGUUACAGACAAAUGCUUUGUUAUCGUCAUUAAUGUAAAAG